Molecule: long non-coding RNA, 3361 nt
Filed under: Vigna radiata
Lineage: Eukaryota; Viridiplantae; Streptophyta; Magnoliopsida; Fabales; Fabaceae
Description: long non-coding RNA (VRAD_LNC008533)
Source: RNAcentral
GGGUGAGUAAAUAAUAAGACUUUAUUUUAUUUUUUUUACUAUUAUUUUACUUUGUUUUUUAGAAAAAGAAGGGAGUAAAAAAAAGAAAGAAAAAGAAAAAAAAAGGAAAACGAAAAAAAAGGAAAAAGGAAAGAAAUGAAAAAAGAGAAAAAAAAAAGAAAACAAAGAGAAACUGAAAAGGGAAAGAAAAAAAAGAAAAAAAAAGAAAGAAGGACCAAGUGAAUAAAAUGAAAAAAAUAGUGGUAAUUAAAGGGAAGGGGUUCUCCACGGUGAUGAGGGGAUUUUUUUUGUAAGAAAUGGGGCACCAGGCCCAUGAGUAAUUAAUAUUAGGGCAACAACCGCCACUUUAAAAGGACCAUUCUUCUUUUUACGAAAGGGAAAGCCGCUAUACUAUUUUGGCUUUUGAACGUUUUUAAGGAGAGCUUUGAACAUGAUAUUAAUGUGGUUGCAUUUUGAUGACUGAAAAAAAAAAAAGCACACUCUCUUUUCCGUUUUCAUUUAUGCAAGGCUGAAACAUUUUUUUCUUUUGAGUUUCUCAUUGAAUGAAAAAGGUUUAGCAUAGCAAUGUCUUGAGGCGAGAGCUUUCAAUACGUUACAACAUUUGAGGAAUUUUUUCCUUUUCCUUACCUUGAAGAAGCACGUUGGUUUAUAAAGGGGGCACACGCUGUUGUUACGACCUACACCAAUGUGACGUUUUGCUUUGGCUGGUGCAUUGAUUUGACUGAUUCAUUUGGCAAAGAGAAAAAGGCUGAAGGGUGCAGAGGUGGAAGCGCCAACCAGUUGCAGCUUGCCAAUCGGAGGAAAGGGAAGCAAACCCUAGAAGGUUUGGGAGCUUGAUUUGAUGAAGGUUUUUACAUCUACACCUCUAUCCUUACUUAGUUGUUUUUUAUUUUCUUAAUAUUUGUUUAAUUAAUUGACUGUUUCGUUUUUUUCACUUUUAUUUUUUUACUCUUUUAAAAUUUGUUUGGCUAAUAUAAUAAAUUUCUUGUGUUUUGUAUUUUAUUUUUAUUAAUUAUUUCGUUUAUUUUAAACUUUAAUUUUAUUUGUUAAUAAAAGCGACGUAACAAACAUAAAAACUAAAAGAUCAAAAAUGAAAACGGCAUAUAAAAAAAGUGGUGUCAGGGCUUCUUAAUAGUAACAUUUUCUUAAGCAAUUGUUUUCUAAAAAAAAUAUUAGAUUAUAAAAUUAAAAAAUAGUUUUUAUUAUUUCUUUGAUAGUUAACACCUUUUUAACAACAGGUUUUGUUUUUUAAUUUAGUUUUAUUUAGAUUUCUCUUAUUUUAGUUUGAAAUACUUGUAAUUAUUAUAGUCAUGUAUUAUAAUUUAAGUAUUUUUAUUCUUAUUUAAUAAAAAUUACAAAAUUAAAAUAAUACAAAUUUAAAAGGUUAAAGUGCACGUGCGAUCGUUCGCGUAGGCCUUGUGCUAAAAACCUUUUUCCUUCUUUUACAAAAAAAUAAUAAAAAUAUCUUUUAAAAGGUUAAAGCACAGGUGCGUCCGUUCGCGUAGGCCUUCUGCUAAAAACCUUUUUCACUUCUUUUACAAAAGAUAUAAAAAAAUGUUUUCAAGGUUUAAGUGGGUGUGUGAUCGCUUGCAUCGUCCUUGUGCUAAGACCUUUCCUUCUUUUAUAAAAAAUAUCAAAAAAUUUGUUAAAGGUUUAGGCGCGUGUGUGAUCACUCGCAUCGUCCUCGUUCUGAGACCUUUUUUCUUUUAUAAGAAAAAAAAAUAAAAAAUGUUUUAAAGUUUUGGACACGUGCGUGAUCGCUCGAAUCGUCGUCGUGCCAAAACCUUUUCCUCUUUAAAAACAAAAAGUUUUAAAGGUUUAAGCGCGUUGUCAUCGUUCACAUCGUCCUAGUGCUGAGACCUUUUCUUUUUCUCACUUAAAAAUAAAAAAUAAAAAAACAUAAAACAUCCAUGAUUUCAAACAAACAAACAAUUUUUCAGCUAGAACUACGUAACCCUGAUUUCUCAUAUUGAGAAUAUGUAGGAGCAAGGUCAAUGCUUGUCAGGCAUCAAAAAAUACAAAAAAAUUAUAUUUUGUUUCUUUAUAACGUCUUUUUUGGGAUAGUUAAACAUUUUGAAAACCACAUCAAAGUCGCAUAUUUAAUUAAAGGUAUUGCCUCAAACAGUCAAGAACAACCAAAUUGAUUUUGCAAUUAAUAUAGUUGACUAUCAUAAAUAUUUUAACUAACUUUUGAAAUAUAUUCGUUACUAUACACAAGCAUAACAUAAUUUUAAAUCAAACAACUAAUUAAGUCGAAUCCGUUGCACAUGAAGUCAACUUAGGCACAUCGGCUUAGUUUGAAAAACUUUUUAAUGCAAAAUCACUCACAACACUGCUUCUGAACAUUUGUGCAGAGACACGAGUUUUAAUCCAAAUGUUUAAUAAUGAAGUCGACUUAAAACUUGCAGUUAUGUUACACAAUGUAAGUUCAUAAAAGUGCAUGUGGUUUUCUCUUGAAAACAUAUUAAAUGCAAUCAUAAAUGAUGUAUCAGAUUGUCAUCACCCAAUUUUGUCCGGGUGAGUAAAUAAUAAGACUUAAUGUUAUUUUUUUUACUAUUAUUUUACUUUAUUUUUAUUAUUUGAUUAGUUUUUUAGGGUGUGUUCACUUGAGGGUGAUUGGAGGUGAUUGGGGGAGAGUGAUUGAGUGAAUUUGAGGAUAAUUUUUUUUGUUAUUUAUUUGAGUGAAUUUGAAGGUAAACGAGAGUGAAUUUUGAAAUAAAGUUUGUGAGAAUUGAUGUAGGAUUUAGUUUAUAUGACAAAUUAAAAAAAUUUACUUCAAAAUUCAUUCUCGUUUACCUCCAAAUUCAUUCAAAUAAACAACAAAAAAUAUUAUCCUCAAAUCCACUCAAUCACUCUCCCCCAAUCACCUCCGAUCACCCCCAAGUGAACACACUCUUAGAAAAAGAAGGGAGUAAAAAAAAGAAAGAAAAAGAAAAAAAAUGAAAAAAUGAAAACAAAAAAAAAGGAAAACGAAAAUAAAGGAAAAAGGAAAGAAACGAAAAAAAGAGAAAAAAAAAAGAAAACAAAGCGAAACUAAAAAGGGAAAGAAAAAAAAGAAAAAAAAAAGGACCACGUGAAUAAAAUGAAAAAAAAUAGUGGUAAUUAAAGGGAAGGGGUGCUCCACGGUGAUGAGGGGAUUUUUUUUUGUAAGAAAUGGGGCACCAGGCCUAGGACCAAUUAAUAUUAGGACAACAACCGCCACUUUAAAAGGACCAUUCUUCUUUUUACGAAAGGGGAAGCCGCUAUACUAUUUUGGCUUUUGAACGUUUUUAAGGGGAGCUUUCAAAAUGUUAUUGAUGUGGUUGCAUUUUGAUGAAUGAAAAAAAAAGCACACUCUCUUCUCCGUUUUCAUUUAUGCAAG